RNAcentral lists this unclassified non-coding RNA (3433 nucleotides) under Hevea brasiliensis (rubber tree). The record is from RNAcentral. Lineage: Eukaryota; Viridiplantae; Streptophyta; Magnoliopsida; Malpighiales; Euphorbiaceae.
GUGACUGCCUACGGUGGUGAAGCAAUUGAUUGAAGAUGUGAGAAGUGUUCUGGCUCUUCAUGUGGGCAACGACUGGCCUUUUAUUGCAGAGUGUUUGUAGAUCAACAUAACAAUCGACAUUGUUUAGUUCAAACAAAGGGCUUGGAUUGAAUCAGUUCAUUCUCAAUCAAGCCCAUUUUGGACUUCCCUUAUAACACCUCAAGCCUCCCGCCCGCCCGCAAGCCAGUAACAAACGCAACCAGAAACAGAGACCGGCAAGCAAGUCUUGCAAGCAUUAACUGCCUGAGUCUAACAAAUGGAGUGAUCAUAUAUUUAUGCUCCGUUUAUGUGCUUUAAAAGUUCAACCAAGCACUAGAAUGCGAUCAACCAGAAUUAUAACUUCAAACUUCAGGAAAUUUUCAUUUCUGGCUCCUACCCGUCUCAAUAAAUCACACAAAAGCCAAAGUCACUUCAACCGUUGAAACCACUGUGAAAAUGCCUUUUCAUUCCAAGUUUUCCGUUGGUUUCUCUUCUUUCUCGUCCUCAGAUCUCGAAAUUCCAUUUGCUGGAAAAUAUCUCUGUAACCAAGGAGAAUGUUCUAGUGACGGUGAUCAUGAUGAUGGUAGCAUUACAAAAUUAGAUUUAAGAGAUGAUAGUUUUGUUGAAGACGUAACGACCAUUGUGAAUAUAUUGAAUCAAUUGGGUGACAAUCGUUCGGAAAUGAGAAACAAGAUUGAGCAAUGUGGCGUUAAGGUUUCACGGGAGUUGGUCAUGGAGGUAAUGUAUAGAGUAAGAAAUGAGUGGGAGGCGGCAUUUACUUUCUUUCUGUGGGCUAGGUUAUGCCCAUUCUGUGCGUGAAUAUCAUGCUAUGAUUUCUAUUCUUGGUAAAAUGAGAAAGUUUGAUACAGCCUGCGCAUUGAUAGAUGAGAUGAGAACGGGUACACCGCUGUUUCUCUUGCUGUACUGUAGACUUUGCUCAUCAUGAUUAGGAGAUAUUGUGCAGUGCAUAAUGUUGGCCAGGUUAUAAAUACUUUUUAGGCGUAUAAGCGGUUUAAAUUUGAUGUGGGGAUUAACGAGUUUCAAAGUCUUUUAUCUGCUCUGAGCCACUACCAGAAUGUGCAAGAUGCUGAGCACUUGAUGUUUUCCCAGAAAGAUGUCUUCCCAUUUAACACAGAUGUUUAAUAAAUUGUGCUUAAUGGGUGGUUAAUCGGAUUCGUAGUCCUUGUCAGGCUAAAGCAAUGUUUGCGAAUCCUUCACAUAUUUAUGCUUGUGGGAAGUAUAAUUAUGACAGCAAUGCUCAUAUUAAUAAUAUUUUUGUGAUACUGUUUCUCUUUUGGUUUAUCUCAUCCUUGAGCUGUGCUAUCACUUAACAACCACUUGAAAGAUAUGAUUAUUUUGAAAACCAAACUAGUGCCAAGGAACUCCUUUUUGGUAAAAGAAAGUUGUGGUUAACUUGUGGAAGAACUCAGAUAUUUGCUGUUUGCUUGGGCUAAUUUGCGUUGCAGUUAAAGUGGUAGGCCAAUUUGCGUUUUCCUUGUUUAUUAAUCUUGGAAUUCAUUUUUCAUAUGUUAAGAUGUUUAAGAAUUAUUAGCAAACGGUGUUUUUCAAUUGACCAAAGGUAAGCGCUGCAUUUUCCAGUGAUACAUGGAUGGGUGAUAGACUAGAUGAUUCAACUAGCAGUUGUGCCUAGCUUUAUGUAACUUCCCAAAAACACAGUUUAGAGUCAUGUGCGUACUCUUUUGGAUGAUGUUUAUUUAAAGGCUUUUUCAUAUUAUGGUUUACCUUCAACAUGCCCCAAGUUGAUGUUUUAGGUUAAACAUUUCUAAUCACAUUUGUUGCAUGUAAUUUUAUGAGAAAAUGAACAAAUGUUUUUUCAGUUUGAUAGGGAAACAUUGGUAAAAUGGAGGUUUCCAACACAGUAUGUCAAGCCAAAUGAACAAAACUGAGAUGUCUUUACCUGGCUUUGAGAAUGAAUCCUCUGAUGGGAAUAACAGUAUGAGUAAUGUUAAGAUCCACGCCUGAAUUUUGUGAAAAGCUUCACUUGAGUCUGUCUCGGGGGAAUUCCCAGAUUGAUAGAUCACAGUUUUUCUUCAGCGCUUCAACUAGUUAUUGUCAUGAACUAUGGAUCUAUUUACCUCAUUAUUGUUCAUGACAUCUCCCUCGGACAUAGUAGGGUACUGAAAUGGUGAAAAAUUUAGAUUUCCUUUGAUGAAAUACCCCAUACUUGUUAGGGAGGAAGGGAAAAUUAGUAUAUUGGAUGUUUAUCUUUCAUUUUAUUCCUUCCUUCUAGUGAAGGGAGACUAUACUCAGGCUUCUAUGAGAACCAAGUUUAUAGUUGACAGCCACUACUUGGUUCAUGUUUAUGUUACGUUAUGAGACUUUUUGAAGUCUAAAAAGGGAUAGGUUGAUACUGUGGGCGUUGGUGCACCUCUAGAUGGAGAGUAUUCAGGCAUUUGCAUGCGGAACUAAGAUGUGGCACAAUUUACUUGAGGUUGAGUUGAUAAUUUUGUAUGCUUCCGUGAGCUCAUUUGGCCUUUUGAAUUGUGCUAGACAAACUGAAAACAUGUGUUGACAGAGUGCUUAUGGGUUGAUGAAAAAUGAAGUCAUGUAGCUGCCCUGCCCAUAACAUUUUUCUUCCUUUUGAUAAAUGCACAAUUUUCAACACAAACAGUGUAUUUUUCUACCAUGUUUUACUUUUGUUAUAAUACUCUUGUAUGUUAAUAAUGCAGGCAGGGACCAGCAGAAGAGUCAAGUUAAUGAAAGUUUAGAUCUGGAUUCUCAUUUUAAAGGUAGAUUGAAAGUCAAGGGUAUCACAACUGAGUGGAGAGAUGCUUUUGACCAUUGAGGUUCAGCAUGUGGGUAUUUGAAUUUCAGCCAAACAAGUUACCUAGUACAUGGGAAAGGAGAGAAGAACCUAUGGAAAUCCCAGGUACUUAUGAUUUGCAUCACACAUGACAUAAUAUUCAAAGCAUAAAAAAAAAAAAAAUCAUAUUCCUUGCAUGAUAAAAAAAUAUGUAUAUAAAGUGCAGCCUAUCAGCCAAACAAAAGCAUCUCUAAAGGAUAAAUACCAAGUCUAAGGACUUGUGGAUAAUCAUAAAACUUUUUGUUUAUAGUGUUAGCAUAUCAUAUGCUUCCAAAAUUUAUCUGAUACCUCUACACCGUGUUUGUCUUAUUAUCCAUUUGUCCAAUUUUUGCACCUCUUUUCUGUUCAACAACGUCCCAUGGCUUUAUUAUAUGGUGCAAGUCUUCCCAUAUUUUGGAACUCCAGCUUUCUUUAAUUAGUCAGUUUUUCUGAAGAUUGCCGUGCUCUGUUUGAUUGCCAAGAAGUUUCACAUCAUAGAGGAGAAGUUAAAAGUGACAAUCCCAUUGUUGUUUGGCAAUCCAUUUAGCUUUCUGUAAACAUUUAAUGCACUAUUCCACGAAUUAUACUUUUGAACCAUAAAUGAAAUGCGAU